This 680-nucleotide ribosomal RNA is filed under the name Cryphalus meridionalis. Its description in RNAcentral is "partial large subunit ribosomal RNA". It matches the Rfam family "Eukaryotic large subunit ribosomal RNA", at positions 406 to 834 of the family's 3401-position model. The record is from RNAcentral. Lineage: Eukaryota; Metazoa; Arthropoda; Insecta; Coleoptera; Curculionidae.
CGUUUAGGGGUAAACCUGAGAAACCCGAAAGGUCGAAGGAAGAAAUUCAAUCGUGUCCGAUAAGGUUAUUGUGCGGUUUUGGUGUCGAUUAAUGGAUUCGUUCAUUUUUCGCCCUACUGUAUGAUAUAUGUACCUUGUUGAACGCGUGCACUUUUCUUCUGGUAGGACGUCGCGAUCCGUUGAGUGUUGAUUUACGGUUUGAAUGGUAGUCUAUCAAUGAGAAUCCUUUGCGAUUCUCCUUGAUAGACCUUCGAUACCUGGUCAACUGGCUCGACGGUAUCAUAUAAUGGUUCUGGGCCGCUCAUUUGGAGCGUUCGGCUUGUAGCAAGCACAUUAAAUGUUUCGGUACAUCGGACCUAGUGCCGUGUCUGAUCCUUAAUGACUGUUGGCUGCUUUGUCUCGAACAGACCUAUUGAACCGAUCUGCGACGAUAUAGCUUUGGGUACUUUCAGGACCCGUCUUGAAACACGGACCAAGGAGUCUAGCAUGUACGCGAGUCAUUGGGAAUCACAAAACCUAAAGGCGCAAUGAAAGUAAAUGUUUUCCUUUACGGUUAACGAUGGGAAGACGGGCGUUUAACUUUACAGUUGACGUUCUGCACUCCCGGGGCGUCUCAUUCUCAUUAUGAGAAGAGGCGCACCAUGAGCGUACACGCUGGGACCCGAAAGAUGGUGAACUAU